AGGGUACAGAGGGGUGGUGGGGACUCAGCUCCAGACAAACAGAGAGUAAUUAAAUCAUGUAAGGUCCUGCUCACCCUUGAGUAUUUCAGGAUACAGGAAUUCUGAUUCUAAAAUCACCUCCACUUGUAUUGGUUUAUCCUAUUGGGACACUUUGUUAUUUGAGAGCUACCAUGAAGAUUCAUUACCUUUUCAUGGCUCUUGUCUUCACUGUCCUGGUGCUCACCUCAGGUACUGAUGAUGAUCAUGAAGUCAAUAGUAUCCUGGACUGCAAAAAUCAAACCCUGUGUAAUUCCAAAAAUGUGACUGGACACUGCUCUGAGGUUAAGGUGGUCGAAAUGUGUGUCUUGCAUCUUAGGAAAACUCCAAAGCAACUACCCUUAAUGCUAUAAAAAUUAAGGCAGGAUGAUCAAUUCUCUUGUCUUAUUAAAAAACUAAGUCUGCUUCUC
Ictidomys tridecemlineatus (thirteen-lined ground squirrel) is the source of this 446-nucleotide non-coding RNA. NCBI's taxonomy places the organism in Eukaryota, Metazoa, Chordata, Mammalia, Rodentia, Sciuridae. The record is from RefSeq and is a predicted model, not a curated record.